RNAcentral lists this non-coding RNA (85 nucleotides) under human gut metagenome. RNAcentral describes it as "Fluoride riboswitch". It matches the Rfam family "Fluoride riboswitch aptamer (crcB RNA motif)", at positions 8 to 61 of the family's 64-position model. The record is from RNAcentral.
AUGGAAAUGAAGUUCUCCCAAAGUAUUUAUAUUUAACGAAAUAUUUAUAUUUAAACCGCUUAUUAUAGCUGAUGACUUCUGCAUG